This is a non-coding RNA of Equus caballus (horse), 119 nucleotides long. The record is from Rfam. Lineage: Eukaryota; Metazoa; Chordata; Mammalia; Perissodactyla; Equidae.
GUCUAAGGCGACACCACCCUGGAUGCACCCAAUCUCAUCUGAUCUCAGAAGCUGAGCAGGAUCUGGCCUGGUUAGGACUUGGAUGGAAGACUGCCUGGGAAUACUGGGCACUGUAGGCU